This is a long non-coding RNA of Amblyraja radiata (thorny skate), 1508 nucleotides long. RefSeq lists it as uncharacterized. The transcript is spliced from 2 exons. NCBI's taxonomy places the organism in Eukaryota, Metazoa, Chordata, Chondrichthyes, Rajiformes, Rajidae. The record is from RefSeq and is a predicted model, not a curated record.
CCGCUGAGUUACUCCAGCACUUGAUGUCCUUUUGUGUAUUAACCAGCAUCUGCAGUUCCUUCUUUCGACAUUACUGAUUUAAACCCCAGCACAGGGAUCCUCGUGUGUGUCCUGACAAAUUGCCUGACAAGUAGCCACAUUGACCCUGCCUAUUGGCGAGCGGAUUUCUGACAAACUCACGACCGGCGGAUUGCUGUGAAAUCGAGGGGCCAAAUCCGACGUGAAGCAGCCCAGUUAGUCGUAGUUAGUUCGCGCCCUAGUCACAGACUGUACGGGAAUUCCACGUGGAGAGGGGAGCCAACUCUCACUGGAAUUCGGAACCGAAGUCCCUCGGGAAAAGGACGAGGGACGCUCCCUUUGAUCAUUUCAAGACUUUCAGUGUCGGAACACACAUUGGGGAACUUGAAGCAAUGACUGAUAAUUCCUUAGCGAACUCUGACCGAUCACCAGACGCGACCCAGUGGGCCACUGAGCUGCUUGAAAUUCCCAAGUCCGUUGUGAAGGCCUCGGGAGGUCUCAGGAAAGGACUAAACGCAGCCAAAUAGCUUCGCAUGCCACACAGGGGGACGGAGAGGUUUCCAGUCACCGGGAAAACCAAGAGACAUGGAGUGGCCAGUUUGUGACGGCACGGUGUGAGGAACAAGAUGAUUUGGUAUAUUACCCCGUCUUUACACCAGCUGAUGAAUCAACACCUGCUGCAUGAUGUGGGAUGAAAUAACUCAUUCUGAAUCGAUGUGUCGAUACAUGUUGAGAAAAACCUGAACUACAAGAGUAGAAUUGGAAGAAAAUAAACAGGUACAUAAACCCAUUGGAAAAAGUGGAUCCCACACAUGCUGUUUCUGCUACUAUGUUAAGACAGAACCCAAUCCUGUUCUGUAACUAAUAUUCAAGCACCAUUUCGAAAUGUAUGUGAUCUAAUUUUGAUGAUAUUGUUUUCCUCCUCACCUUGUGAAGGCCAAGGUAUUUUUAUUUUCAUUUUAUUUUUAGUUAAUUUUACACAAAAUGUGGAGGACAUGUGCAUCACAAGGGAAUAAAUUUAAAUUUAUAUAGAUGUUCUUACUAUUCCAAUCACACAAUAUGCCUAUUACAUAUAAUUUGAACCAUUGAAAAUACCAGAUAAUUAAUUUGGGCUGCAAAUAUCCCAACUAAAAUUUAACUUGUGGGGUCAACGAUCAAUUGUGGGCAGUGAAUACUGUUCUGAUACUGUGGAUUUAAUCUUGUGGGUAAAUUGUUCAAAUAUCUAUUUUUGUAUAUAUGAUAUAUGUUUUAUAACAAAUGAUUGAGUUUACUCGUGAUAUGUUAAUUAUUAAAGCUAUAGGGUUUUAGUUUAAUUGAUUUCAACUUCUUUGGAAGACCUGUUCAGUGUGACAGUGGUAAAUAUUUCAGUGAGAAAUUCAGUUGCAUUUUAACAUGCUAUGAUUUGUUGGUGAGACCUAAUGCAUCUUUUCAAAUUAUCAAUGCACUUUUGUCAGAUCAUUGUAUCAUUGUAAUUAAAGACAUCUACCUCA